This 22769-nucleotide long non-coding RNA is filed under the name Setaria viridis. Its description in RNAcentral is "long non-coding RNA (SVIR_LNC011464)". Lineage: Eukaryota; Viridiplantae; Streptophyta; Magnoliopsida; Poales; Poaceae. The record is from RNAcentral.
UUUUUUUUUUGUCAAUGUAAGAUGUACACGGGCCCAAAAAAAUGCAUCACGGAAAUGCCAAACCAGGUAGUUACAACCACAGGACUGACUAACUCUACAGCACACCAUCCACUAGCCAAUUACAUUCCCGACACCGGGAACCAGGAGCUAACCACGUCUUUUAGGAAGCACUGAGUAGCAUGUCUCUCUCAACAUGAACCUUUCGAGCCGAAGGAGAGGGGACGCCGGCCGAGCCGAUUGGGCUCUCAAGACUUGGUGUUCUUCUGCCGCUUCUCCUCGAGCUGCGAAGCCUCGUUCAGCAUGUCCAUGGCGUCGCUCUGCAUGUUCAGCUUCGAGAGGGCCACGGCUUGCAUGUAGAACGCGGUGGGCCAGUCAGGGUAUACGCACUGCGCCUGCAUCGCAUCGCGGAGGGCGGCGUCAGGUUGGUCACACAUGAGGUGGCACAGGCUCCUCCUUGCGUACACUGUUGGUGAUACCAUCGUCCCCACAUCAACAAACUGCAAAUAUGAAAAGGGGUGGCGAAAUGAAUUAGCUGAAUUCUAGCAAUUUCUUAGAGCGUCGAAGCGUUCCUGAUAUAAGUAAGACGUGUGUCAACCUGUGUAUAGCAAUCUAUGGCUGCCUUGAAAUCUUUAUCACGGAAAGCAAAGUCCCCACGCUUCCUAGCUUCCAACAUGUCCCUCAUCUGCUGUGUCCAUUCCUGGAAUGAUAGCUGCAAUAAACGUACCACUUUCUUAAAAUUAUUACCCUGUAGAAACGUCAGCAGACAGCAACAGAAAAGCCAUGAUGUUUACCUCAUUAGUCCCUUCAUCAUCCCUGUAAUGUGUAUUCACUAGAAUCUGGUGGAUAGCCGUCAAAUCCAUCCUAGAACAGGCUUCACCCAUGGGAGAAAGAGGGUGCUGUGGCUGCGGAGCAGGAGUUGGAGGCACUGCUUCUUCAUACUUUGGAAUGCCAAGCAUCUCAUAGGAUGGUACCUGUUUGCAAUUUGCAAUGGAAAUGUAGCAGCCGUAAGAAAAGCACAAAAUUGCCUUGUUACCAUAAGAUAACAGUUACGUGGAAGCCAUGAAUGAAUCAAAUCACAAUAAAGCAAACAAUCAAUGGUAGAGCACAUAGGCUGCAUGGUUAUAUGAAGCUUUUUUUAGAGGAUAAAAAAUAUAACGGUUACCUCUGAUUUUAUUUGCAAGGGCUCGAGAACAGAAACCAGCUUCUUAGUGUUGGGGCGAUCCCUAGGUUCAUACUGUAAGCACUGAGAAGCAAGAUCGACCAAUGUGGUCGCUUCUUCUGUUGAGUAGUUUCCCUCCAAAUGUGAAUCCAUCAGUACUUGGAUAUUGUUGCCUUUUAUCAUAUCAAGAGCCUGAGUGAAAUAAAGCUAAUUUUCAAUGAUAACCUAACGACUUUGUUACCAAGUUAUGUCCGAAAGGAAAAUAUGUUCUCCCACAGAUGCUCAGUAUCGCACACUUGGUGGCAGUUGCAAAAAGGAGAUAUGCACAGAAUAGUAUUGAAUACAGAGGUAUUUUUCACAAAGGGGGUCAGUAAGGAUCAAAUGCAACAAGGAAAUAGAUAGUAUUAACGAUAAAAACUUACACGGGAAGGAGGUAUACGCUUUCCACUGAGGAGGUCCAGAAGUAUAGUGCCAAAACUGUAUAUGACACUUUCUGAUGUAACUCUUCCUAAAGAAGCAACGGUUACCACAACAAAAGAAAUGUUAGAAAUAUACAUCCAGAAUGAUUUCACUUCAUAUUUGCUAUUUCAAGACUAUAUCCUGUGAACUUUGAUCCUUAAUCAAUCACCUCACGUGUUUUCAGUCGACUACCUAUAAGUGCUUACAUAAAGCAUUCAGCAAGUCAACAAGAUGGAUUAUUUCAUCUUGAGGGGCGAAAUAACCCAACUUUUCCACUAUUUUUAGUAGCAUUUUGCAGUGUUCCAUACUUCCAUUAAUUGAUCCAAUCGGUAUGAAAGUUUUAGCCAUUCUAUUGUCAGUACUAACCAUCUACAUGUAUAUCAUUUCUAAAUACCCUAACUAAGCAACCCAAAGAAGAAAUUUUUGGUCGUAAAUACAAAUACAAUCAUAUUACCAUUCCUUAAAUAUUCUGGAGGAGUGUAUGCAAGAUUCGUACUAUAGCUUUUCCCGUCCCUGCUGUUUUUCAUCAGGCCAAAGCAUGAAAGACGAGGAUCACCAUUCUGCAAAAAUAAAUUACAUUGAUUGUUUAGCCCGCAGAGGAUUACUGCAGUUAGAGAAAUAUGCAACAAGCUGUAAAAUGCAAUCAACAUCAUCCAAAAAAGCAUAACAUAACCAAUAAUAUUCCUAACCAUUUCAAAUCAAUAUACGAUGAUUUUUAUAGAACUCAUGAAAAAGAGUUGACAUUUCGAUUUUGAUAUGUAUUUCCUUCCAACCACUAGAGGUGGAGUACAGGUGGCAACAGACCACUCCCACUUCCAAUGUCAGAUGAAGCAGAGAAAGCAUCCAUGCAGAGGGUAAAAGCUCAAUGGAAUCCUAAGGUACCCUUCCCAGAGGAACAAAGCAAUACUUGCAGCAGCAGCAGAGAUAUUUACAAACAAAAAAAAAGAAAAGAAAAACUCAUUUACUCAGCUUCAUGAUAUUGUAGUAGAUUGGUAAUUUUCAAAAAACAAUUCUAGGGCUGUAGGAUAAAUAAAAGGGGUAAGAAUUAGUUACCUCAUCAAAGAGAACCCUGUAUGCAUUUAGGUCAUGAUACAAAGGCCUUCCCUCAGUGCUGCAAUACUCCAGUGCUUCAGCGAUGUAGUUUGCAACUCUUAGACGCAUAGCCCAUUCAAUUGUCUGGUUUUCCCCUGAAAAAGAGUAAAAUAAAUAUCAGGUAAUGAACUGACGCACAGUGAUGUACAGUUAACUUGUCCAAAAUCAUCAUCCCAUGAAAAGGUCAAUGCAAUCAAGAUUAACAAAAGAGGCAAUUACAUGCCGGCCUCAAUGUUUUGUUUCUAAAGAAACCCAUCAUCAUUUGCAAGUUGAAACCAUUACCAAUAACACCCAAACCUUGCCCAUACACCCUGGGAACAGGCUGUUCAUAAAGCACAAACCCCACGGAUCCAAACAUCUAGUCAAUGCAUCAACUUAUUAAUUUCAAAUACGCAUUGCAGAGCACAAUAUCACUUGCAUUCAUAAUUCCUAAAUUUUACUGUAACAAUAUACGUCCACACUGAAAUCCUGUAAGCUAAUUCUAGUCAUCCACCUGUCCAAAACAAUGAACAGAACAUCUGAACACAGAACAAUGAUGUAGUAAUAUUAUAUCACGUGUUCAAUGCAGCCUGUGCCCUGAUCGGUUUCAAUGGAUUCACACAACGACCAGGCCAACAACAACCAGAUAGGAAUUGGAUAUCACAACGCCUAGCCCAAUCAUUUCGUUCGGUACACCAAAUGCGGGAGGCUGCUAAGCGCCAGCAGUUGCUCAGAGCACGCCGAUUCGUCUUUUUUGCCAACUUCCACACUAAUAAUCAGGGAUCAAAUCAGACGAAGCCAAAAACUAUCGCAGGGUGUAUUUACCGAAAAUGGCCAGCGAAAUAUCCAGAACCAACCAGGAAUCCAGAAAGCGACGCAUCAGAAAUGGACCAAUGGCUAGAGGAUCGGUAGAGCAAACGUACAGUGGAAGAGGUGCUUGGCGAGCGUGUCGUUGGGCAUGAACUCGGCGACUAGCAGGCGCUCGUCCCCGUCGCAGCAGUAGCCGAUCAGGUUGGCCAUCCGGCAGUGGCGCAGCUUGCCGGCCCCCUUGGCCUCCUCCUGCGAGCAAAAGCAAAGGCGUUUCAUUGCAGCGAAUUCCACCCCGAAUCGGGGGGCGCGUACGGUAAUCGAUCCCGAGCCCGCCCCUAGACGUACCGCGAACUGCUUGGCAUCGGGCCAGGCCGCCUUGGUGAACUUCUUGACGGCGAUCGCGCGGCGGCUGUGCUCGAGGCGGCCCUUGUACACGAAAUUCGGCGCCUUCUCGCCGCUCUCGGAGACGAUGUUCUCCGCCACGAAGCCGCCCGUGGCGGCGCGCAGCUCCGCCAGCGAGAACUCCUUGAGCGGCGGCACCUCGCGGCCGGCGGCGCCGGCGCGCGCCGCGGAGGACGCCGUCGACUGGUGCUGGUUGAGCGAGAGGGAGGGGCGGUGCGGGGGGAGCGGCUCCGUCGCCCUCCCCGGCGGCUUCUUCUCCGGGUGCGUCCCCGUCCGCAGCGAGGAGCCGCAGCAGCCCAUCGGGAGUCCACUGGGUGGCUUCAGCCGCGGCCGCGUCUGCGUGGGCGCGCCUGUGGUGUGGUGUUGUGUGGGUUUGGGUUCCCCUGGCUUGCCUGCCGAGUAGCGGAGCAGGGGAAGAGGAGAAAGAGGAGGUGGUGGUUUUGUUCUGGCUUUGGGGUUGGUUGCCUCUGCCUUUGUAUGGGGUGUCGUCCCCUUUUUCGCUGCCGCGGUAAGCCGCCGUGCGUGCGCGCGCCGGGUGCGUCGCUGUCCUGGCCUACCUACGAGGACGAUCCUACUCUUGAGCCUUGACAAAGUUUCAACUCUCAAUUCAUGGCUUAACAAAUAAUGAUAACAGCGUUAAUAGUAAAUGAAAAAAUUUGUGUUGUGGAAGUGGCGCACAGUUUGAAACUUGGAGCGAAGAGAUCUAGCAAGCGUUACAAUGCCGUUGGAUUGGAUUACGCUAUCCAAUUUACAUGGCGUGUGGCAUCAUAGAUAGCGUAAAAGUGUCCCGUAAAAGUGUAACGGUGGACAUCCGUUACUUAAAAUAACGAACAACGCUGUUGAUAGUAACGGAGAAAAUUACGAUGCGAGCGUUACCGCACGCGUGCCAUAUAAUACUAAAAUCCAAAUUCAUGUGAUCUAACAGCAGGUUAGGUCACGUGCAAAGUUACGUUAUCCAAAUUAUGUUCGAUGUUGUGUGGCUUAUGUAUAACCUAAAUUGUAACAUUUUAAUGUCGUUAAAACCAACUAGAAACAACAUUAAUAGUAACGGAGAAAACUUAUGUCGGCGCAUCUGCAUACAUACCGUGCAAUAACCGACCUAAAUCGUGCCAUGUGGCAUCUCUAUAGCGCCAAUAGAUUUGAUCACGUAAAGCACCACGUCCUACAUUUGGUAGAUGUUAUGCAGUUAACUUGUAAUUUUCCAUGUAGGUUGUUCGAAAUGCUCCUUGCUAUUAAAAGGUUCUCAACUUUUGUUCUUUUUCCCUUCCUCCAGCGCUUGAGAUCUUGGAGCCGUGUUGGCAUCAAUUAGAGACGCCGCUUACAUUUGGAAAGAAAACAUUCAACUCUGGUCGGUGUACUAGUUUGCAAGGAUGACAAAGUUUCCCAUUUGAGUGUAUUUUUAGGGGAUUUUCCAUUUGUGUUUUGAGGCUCUGCUGUGAGCAUGCUUGCUCGCGCCCUGCUGGAGUCAACGGCUGUCUUCGCUGGUUUUCGUACUCGCACCGAUUGAUGGGUUCGGAAGCAAACAAGGCACGCCCGUACGUAGGUUGGGACGGAUAGGGAACGAGCCGAGCGCGCCACGCAAAUCUGUCUGCCCGGAUUACGCGUCAGGCGCCGGAGCCAGCCAGCCAUCCCUCCCGUCCCGGGCUGGCUGGAUGCCGUGGGCCGCGCGUCUCCACCUGCAGCGCCCCGCGCAUCCGGCGACCGUGUCGCCGCCGUGCCAGGUCUCCGCGCAACUUUCUGGCCACCCCGCGCUGCCCGCUAGCGUAAACCCGGCACGAAACGGACGUCCGUUCGGCAACGGGCGCCGCGGCAGUUUUAGCAGAGGAGACGGGACGGGGCAACCGUAAACCUUUUCUCCGGGUCAGAGGAACGGUUACUGUGGGUUUUGCAACUGAGAUGCAUAAACGAAGCAGUUGAUAAAAAUCUGCUAAGAAAAGGCUUCAGUUUGCCCUUUUUCUCUGCUACGGUAUGAUUGAGUGAAAUGUUUAGGGGGUGUUUGAUCCUUGACAUAGAGUUUAGCCAGGUGACAUCGAAUGUUUAUAUGCUAAUUAGAAAUAUUAAACAUAGGCUAAUAAUAAAAAUAAUUGCAUAAAUGAGGGCGAAUUCACGAGACGAAUCUAUCAAACUUAAUUAAUUCAUAAUUAGCACAUGUUUACUGUAGCAUCACAUGCGCUAAUCAUGGACUAAUUAGACUUAAUGGAUUCAUCUUGCAAAUUAGCUCUCAUUUAUGCAAUUAUUUUUGUCAUUAGCCUAUAUUUAAUACUUCUAAUUAGCAUCUAAACAUCCAAUGUGAUCCGAGCUAAAUUUUAGUCUAAGGAUCCAAACACCCAAAUAGGAGUUAAAAGUGAUACGUUUAGCUCUUUUUUCCGGGUCAGAGGAACACUGUUACUGCAGGUUUUGCAACUGAACGGCAUAAACGAAGCACUUAGUUGCUAGAAUGGCGUAAAAACCUACUACUGGUAAAGCUUGAAUGGCUGUAAAUAGUUGCUAGAACCGAAGAGUAUUUGCCUGACCGAAAUGUUUAGCAGGAGCGGGUAGUGAAAAUUUUAGUAGGAUUUUACACAGUUACUUUUUUUUCUGCAUUUUGUAAACUAAAAAUAGUACAAUAGUCAAUUAAAGAACCGUUCAAAUCACAAAGAUGGAUGGAUCCAAGGAAGGAGUCUGAACAGCAAAGCAGCUCUCGAGUCUUCAAAACCCUGACCCCAGGAUAUGAAAACACCUGCAUUUGAAAGAGACUUUCAUUUUUGAAUUCCACGAUUCACACGCACAAGGACACAGUUCAUUUGUUUAUAAUGUACUAAAGCUAUUCUACGAUCCCCAGGAAUGACGGCGAUUUGUUUAACGAGUCAGCUGCAUGAUCGGAACACUUCAAGUCUCCCGGGUGACCUCGCUUGACCUGCUGACCAGGUCAGGUCGGUCACCGGUCUUGAGCUCCUACGGCAACGGCAACGGAUCCACCGGCUUUCAGUUUGAACCCUUGUGUACGAAGACCAAAAGGCAAGCCGUGACCAGGUUCCGCGUUUUGGUUCCCACACUGUCGCGGGUAACUCAUAAACUGAACAGUGGAUUGCGCUGGCACAAAUCUAAAGCAAGCUAACACCCGUUUCUUUCAGUUUCGGACCUUCUAGGUAACUUUCGCGAAGCAAUUCGAAGCACACCUGAUGGUCACCGCUACGUAGUCGCCUCCUGUCUCCGACAUCUUCCGCUACGAGAAAAGUUGGGCGCUCGACCCCGAGUUCCAACGGCUCGUGGUGGGCGUCUGGGCCCACCCCCAGAAUCAACGAGGGAGCAUCUCCGAUUGCGUCUGCCGCAGCUUCAAGUGGACGCGCGCCACGUACAAGAAGUGGGCGCGCAGCCGGCAGCCGUCAUGGUGGCUUGCCGCGCGGUUCUCGAGCUCCUGGACCUCCUGGAAGAGCGUCGUCCCCUCAUCGCCGCCGAAGCCCUUGUGCGCUCCCUGGUCAAGGCGCGCCUUGCACGUGCUGUCCACGAGCACAACCUCUGCUGGCACCACCGCUAUAGCAUCAAGGCAUGUAAACUCGGUGACCAAAACACCGCGUUCUACCACGCCUCUGCCUCCGCGCGACUCCGCAGCAACAAGAUUCAAGUGCUGCACGAUGACGGUGUCCCCGUCUCCUCCCACGCCGACAAGGAGCGCGCUCUGCACCGGUACUACUUGGACCUGCUCAGUGACGCCGUCCCCAUCACCUUCCCCAACGGUGCUGCGCGGAUUCUCCCUUCCGUGUCGCACCUUGACGCCCUGGAGGCUCCGUUCACCCCCUCUGAGGCCAAGACGACGCUCUAGCAAAUGCGCACCGCCAACAGCCCUGGCCCCAACAGCUUCGGCCCCGCCUUCUUCCGCUAGUUCUAGCCGACCAUGGGCGACACAGUGCUGGCAUGGCUCUCCUUCUUCCACGACGGCAUAGUGGACCUGGCGCGCGUCAACCAAGCUCACGUUGUGCUCCUGCCUAAGAAGCAUAGGGGUCGUCACCGCCAAUGGCUUCCGACAGAUCAGCCUGCAGAAUUGUGUGCCGAAGCUCACCGCCAAGAUCCUCACCAACCGCUUGCAAAGCGUCGUCCCCGCGCUCAUCUCCGACUACCAGAUAGGCUUCGUCAUGGGGCGCUCCAUCACGGACAACUUCCUGCUCGCCACGGAACUUGUCUAGUGCUGCCGCGUCCAGCGUGUCCCCACCGUAGUCCUUAAGCUUGGCUUCCGCAAAGCUUUCGACUUGGUUAGUUGGGAAGUUCUCGACCGUGUUCUCGAGCUUCGCGGCUUUGGGGACACGUGGCGUGGCUGGAUGCGCAAUCUCCUCUCCACCGGACGCACGGCGGUGUCCUCAACGGGGACACCGGGCCUUGGAUUCAAUGCUGACAUGGCUUGUGGCAAGGCGAUCCUCUCAGCCCCUACCUCUUCAUCAUCGUCACCGAUCUCCUACACAGGAUGCUCGUUGACCCUUGUGGUGACGAGCCCCUCCUUCACCCCCUCAUCGACGACCUCCCCUGUCCAGUGAUCCAGUAUGCUGACGACACCCUUGUUCUGGUCCGGGCAGAGAAGGGGCAGGUGCGCCGUCUCAAACAAUUGUGCAACUCCUUCGCCACCGCCGCGGGACUCGCCAUCAACUACCACAAGAGCAUGUUCGUCCCUGUGCACGUCGCCGCCACCAGCGCCGACGCCCUUGCUGGCAUCCUCGGCUGCCCCGUUGCUACGUUCCCCCAAAGCUACCUGAGCCUCCCCCUCUCCGACAAGAAGCUCCCCACGUCCGUGCUCGACGCCUUCGCGAUUAGGGUUGAGUGCUGCAUCCCCUCCUAGCAGGUGCACAUCCUCAAUCGCGGGGGGCGACUCAUGAUGGUCAACUCCGUCCUCUCCGCCCAAAUCACCUAGGUCGCCACCGUGCUGCAGCUGCCUAAGUCCACGAUGGAGAAGGUGGACAAGCCACGCCGUGGAUGCUCUGGAAGGGCGUGGCCUUGUGCACCGGGGGCGACUGCCAAGUUGCCUGUCCUAUGGUGUGCCGGCUUAAGGAAGAAGGUGGCCUCGGCGUCAUUGACAUCGAGGUUCAGAACACUUGUCCCCUCCUCAAGACGGUGGACAAGCUCCAGUAGGGCAGCGACAACCCCUGGCGAACUGGGUUCGGUUCUGGUACACGCCGGAACGCGCGUCGCGCCCCACGCCCUGCUGGCGGACAUUCCAGCAUUUGUUUCCCAUGUACAGGGGCAUCACCACCGUCGUCCUCAGUAGCGGCACGGCGACCUCCUUCUGGAUCGACAAUUGGACCUCGCUUGGCCUCCUCGAUCAAGCUUUACCGGCCUUGUUCUCCAACUGCCUCGAGCCCUACAUUACGAUCGCCGCCGCCUUCGCCACCAGGGCCCUCGUCUUGCCAUUGUGGGAGCGCCUCUCUCCCGCGGCCAGUGACGAGCUCGCGACCCUCGUCUCUCAGCUGAGCGGCCUGCACCUUGGUGUCGCCCCUGACACCCGUCGCCUGGCUUAGAGGGAUGAGAUCGACGUGCGCUCAGGCGCCCUCUACUCCAUGUUGAAGCGGACGGGCUGCAUGGUGUCGCACUCCGACGUCAACUAGGGGAACUUCGCCCCAAUCAAGGUCUGGGUCUUUUUCUGGAUCUUCCGAUAGGGGAACACGCACACGCGGAACUUUCUCCACUGCCACGGCGCCACGGGCAGCCCCACUUGUCCCUUCUGCACCGCUGACAAGGACGCCGCCCACAUCUUCUUCACUUGUCCACGCAUCACCAGCUUCUGGAGCUCGGCGUGCCCUCACGCCUCCGUCACCUGCCUCGCCAGCGCGCUUCAAGCUCUACCGCUCCCAGCGGGGGCGGCCCUCCACACCGCGAUGCUGCUCCUCUUGUGGGUGAUUUGGAAUCGCCGCAACAGGAUGAUCUUCGACGCAGUCGACCAGCCCGUCGCUGCCAUCGCCCAAGCCGCCAAGGAACACCUCGCCCUCUGGGUGCAUCGCGCUCCCCGCCGCCUAGACACCCUCCUGCUCAAGUCCUGGUGCUCUAAUCUUUGUGUGAUAUAGCGCCUAUGCUGCUUCAUCUCCCCCCUUUACAAAAACAUCAGCCCCUCAAGCUAGGUUGUAAAAUGAAAAUCCAUCAGCUUCGGCCAGACGUUCAGGUGGACGUGCUCUGCCCCAGUUGGUCCUUCAAAAAAAAUUCGAAGCACAUCACACUACUCCUAUUCUUUUCUCUUUUUCUGCCUUGCAGGCCAGUGCUCAAAACGCCAGUCCUAUUCCGGUCACACGCUGAUCGGCCGGUUGCUAAACAAUGGUGCUGGCUGUUCUCCACUGGCAAGUACAACGGGUACGAGCACCAUCCACCGAUGCAGGACAAGUCGGCCCAAUUUUCAAUGCGAGCAGCUGAUCUGGCUCGCACACGGACAACUUACGCCACCAUGCCGCCGUGUUACGUACUCCCCCACCUCAACCCAGGAGGCCACUAGCAGUGGCUACUAUACGGACGCGUUUAUUUUAGCGAGGAUUAGGCAGGCAGGAGCAGCCUUUGUUACUGCCAGGCUGCCCUAGCCUUUGCUCUGCCUGCUGCUAUCACUGCUAGCGCCCAGUUGCCCCGAGGCCAGAGUGGUACUCGUAGCACGCACGAACUCCAUUAACAAUUCAGCAUCGGCUGCGCCGCCAGCUAGCCGUCCUGGCCGGCGAUCUCCUCCGUCUACUGUCCUGGACUCCUGGUGCGUGCGUGCCCUAGACUUAGAGCCACCAAAAGGUUUCCUCGAACAGAUUGAUGAAUUCCAGUGCCAGUGCUCACGUGCACUGACAGCCACGGUUGAGGUUAAACAAGUCUGAGGUGGCGGAAGAUUAGAGCAGGGUUGCCACAGAUGGUUGGAUGGGUUCCAAGUGGCUUCAUAGUUUAGUGUAGCUACUAAGUUCGCUGCCAUAGCAGUAACUACAAGCUGGGUGCUUGACUGCUUGAUUGGGGAUUAUUCAGACUCUCACAGCCGUUCGUGAUAGGCUAGUGUGAUAGGGGAAUACAUGUGAUUUUCUUUAAUUAGGAGGCUACUUGGUUAUUAUGUAGUAUAGGUUUAGCUUGCUGCCUGUGGUAAGCCGUAGCACGUGCUUAUUCGUGGAGGGCUAUGCUUUUUUAAGGGACUACAGACAUGAUACAUGCCGUCCAAGGAGCCCUCCUCACUUACUACUUCGCCUGCUAAUCACCUCUGCUACCGGGCUAGAAAAAGGUUUAGAUCGCAUAUUGGGGGUGAGAAAUCACAGAGUGCAGCGAGAACUCGUCCAAUGUGGUUAACAGAAAAUCCCAUGUCCAGGGAGUAAGGAAUGCCCUGUUCAAUCGCGUAUUUGGGUAUCCGCUUCUACACUGUUACCGAAGAAAAAACAUCGGAUUAUUGCAAGUACUCCUAUAUCCGUCCAUGAUGUAAAAAAAGAGGCACGUUCAUCAUCAGUUGAUGCAUGCACGGCUAGAUGUUACGCAUCUAAUUAUCCAGCUUGAGUGAUGCUCCGUGUCUUGUCUUUCAGCACGUACUGAUCUGAAUCGUGAAAAGGGAAAACCAAACGGAACGUGUGAAAUACAUCUAUCGGCCACGGCAUCUUAAGAUUGAUUAGAGAAUAAUUGUUCCAACUUCCCACACAAGUGGGCGCUAGCUAACUUGCUCGGAAAGCUCCGACGAGCAUCGGUGGCAGCUGAUGUGAGGGAGAUUAAUCACUGAUGAUGAUGACUAAAUUAGUGAAGUGUGGCUCUGAAGAAAAGGAAAGUGUGUAAAGGUUAUAGUACUCCACCAUAUCAGUUAUGGUACUGGAUGCUGGACGACAAUAACAAGCUCCCUACUGGACCUAGGAGCCAUCUCUUUCUGAUGGUACGUGCCGACAUUGUAGAUAGAGUAAUCGACGGAGCUUAAUUGCGACGGCACCUGAUUCGCGCUGCACCACACGUCCAUCAAUUCAGUUUCUAGCUAGUACUAACCCCCCAUCAUCUCGACACCGGACGCUCACCAGCCUCGCGACUGGAUAACGGGGGAAGCACCCCAUCGCCAUUGCCGCCCGUGUGGAAGAGACGAGGAGUUCUGAUUUCAGUAUCCAGACGCAUCCUUUUUUUCGUCUUCUUUUUCUUGAAAUUCCACGUACGCUCUAAUAACUAGUAAAGCUUGCGUUCCCCACUGAAUCUGAAUGAUUGAUUAGUCGCUCCGAUCCCCACCAGAAAAGCACGCGGUUAGCACACCAAAUCCGAGUCAAUGAUUAAGCACGAAGGAGAGGGAGGAGAAUAUCCUCAGAUAAGAGGACAGCGACAUGUACCGAACCACACCAUCCCGAGCGCACACACCUCUGCAGGGGUUAGCUGCCUAAGCAGGUGUGUACUCCAUCUCUCUAUUCGAUGGGCUUUGCUUCGCGGGAUCAACCGAUCUCUCUUGCCUGGUUGGGUUCUGCUCGAUCGUAACUUGAUUUUCAUGGCACGCAUGCAAAUCAAACAAAACUAGAUGGCCCGCGCUAAUAGCACGGGUAGCUAGUUUUUUAUACCAUUAUCUGGGUGCUUUAUUUCAAAAUAAACAGACAUAAAUAAUUGUAUUUAGUCGUGUCAUGAUAAAAGAUCAAUAUAUUAUCAUAUAUCUUUUUUAACAUGAAUUAGAAAGAAAAGGUAAUACCUUAGAUAUAAACAUAUUUUUUGGGUAUUUACUGAAACAACAUAAAAAUUUAUACAUUUUUCACUUGAAUAUAAUUGUUUAUAUAUUUUUUAUUUGUGAUGUACAUUUUCGUUUGCUAUGAUUAAAAAAUCCUUAUAUUUUAGUAGAAUGUUCAACGUAUACUACAAAAGUAAUAAUUUAAUUUCGAGUUUGACCCUUUUAGUUAUUAUUAUAUCGAAAUCUCCAUUCCUUUCUUUGUUCUUUGAUCACCGGUUGCCACAGCCCAUACAUGCAUAAUCCCAUUUUGGCAUACGGUUGUUGCACCUUUUUCCUAAUUAUAAACUCUACCCUUGGGUCCGUGAAUACGUUGCUGUGGCUACCAAACUAUAUAUUAUUAGUCUUUGUGCUCACCACCUCUCUCUCUUGCUUCUACUCUGAAGGAGCGUUGUCCGCUACGUUGUGGUCACCAAAGAUAGAUCCUUGAUUGUGACUGUUGUUCCCUCCCGUGAGACAUGCUAUGGCGCGCAUGCCAAACAUCAAUUUUCUUCACUAUUUAACACGAUUAUUUUGGAAUUUCCACCUUGUGGUUGGUGUCGUGGCCCUCAAGUUGCUCCACCAGAUCAUUCACUAUGUUGCUGGAUCCAACCACUAUUUCAUCAAAUCGACAACCUUUGUCUCCUGCGAGUGCCCCAUCGCCCAAUCGCAGGCAACAAUUACGGUAAACCGGUGAGUUUUAAGCUAGGGACAGACAAGUUGGUUGUAUUUUUUCUCAUUAGUUUCGUUACGGUUGUUAGCCUAGCCCUACUCGCCAAUGGUGGCAAAGGUCGGCAGCAAACAACAGUACACAAUUGCAUAUAUAGCUCGUGGCACAUGAAAAUAUUUAACCCGUUGUAGGGUGAUUAUUUUGCUGGUCAAGGUGAUCCUUUCUCAACAUGGACGCGUGUGAAUGGAGUUGGCUGAUCGUUGAUCACUACUAUAGAAAAGGUUAUCACGAAUGGGUCAUCACUGGUAGUUCUAUCCAAACUGGUGGUGAUAAGUUUUCAUGCCAGUUCAUGAGUAGCUAGCGCGUAGUGGAAUCGAUUUCACCGCCGGUUCAUGGUAUAACCCGUCCGUGACCCAUAGCCCUUCUAUAUCAUAUCAAUAUCCAUCCCCUUCUCUUCUCCCCUUCCUCCCUUUUACCUUCGGAUGCGCACCUCUCCCUCCCCACCUCUGAUCCCCCGCGCAAAUAGCGCAGGUAGCUAGUUUUUUAUGCCAUUAUCAAAAUAAAUAGAUAUAAAUAGUUGUAUUUAAUCAUGUCAUGGUAACAGACAAAUAUAUUAUCAUAUAUCUUUUUAAACAUGAAUUAGAGAGAAAAGGUAAUACCUUAGAUACAAACAUAUUUUUUGGUAUUUAUUGAAACAAUAUAAAAAUUUAUACAUUUUUCACUUGAAUAUAAUUAUUUAUAUUUUUUAUUUGUGAUGUAAGUUUUGUUUGCUAUCAUUACGAAAGUCCUUAUAUCUCCCUCCCCACGUCUCUCUCACCCCCUCCCAUCACCCCUCCGCUCGCCCCUCACUGGCAAUGAAGACCAGCGGCGAGGCACAAGGAGCGGGCAGGGAUGGUAGGCACGGGUGGCGGCAACGGCGGCGGCGGGCGCGGGCAUGGGAUGCAACAACGACAGAAGAUGCAGGCCACAACUGCGGGCAUGUGCAAGGGAUGCAGCGACAACGAUGGGGACUCCGUCCUCUCACGGUACUCUCUAUCUCUCUCUCUCUCUCGCUCCCCCCCCCAGCUACUGCAGUGGGUGACAGGGCUCCGGUAGCGUGGAAGGACUCUAGCGGUGCCUUUUUAUUUUUUAAUAGGCUUCACUGUCGGUUCAUGGUCCGGCGGUGAUGAAACACUACCACCACCGAUCGAAAUCCAACGGGAGGCCAAAGCGGCGAUGAUAUUGGAUUUAGGGCUGGCGGUGAUAGGCUGGUUUGGAGUAGUGGAUGGAAAUGCGUGAGGCUAGCGCGGUGGGCUCAUCAUCGUGUAACCACUUAGUGAAGCUGGUCAGAUUUGUCCCAAGUGUUCUCCUCACACGUCCCAAUGGUUACGAUGGCCGUCUCACUAUCAUUGGUGCCGGCAUGGCCCUCUUUCUUGGUGAUUUUAUCGUCAUGAUCCUUCUUAUGUUUUCUCCUUCUAAUCUAUCGCCUGCACUGUGGCUUUGCUAUCUUGCACAAAGCUACACUUUUGAGUCUGUUAUGUUGCAUAAAGCUGCCUGUAUUUGUAAUGCAAUCUGCUCCUGCCUACGUCCGCACUUCUGUUGUCGGGUGUCCGAUUUACGCACUUUGCAUCUCACUACUGUUCUAUCUCGUGGCCUUGAGAUGCCAACUGAAGUCCAACGAAAUGCUAGGUUUGGUCUCCUUUCAAAACUACACCAAAUUAAAUUGGAUGAGUUUUGGUCACAUCACAAAGAUACAUACUUUAAUUGAGAAACGACCAAUUUCCAAACACUUUUUUAUGACCCAUGCUAUAUCUUAUCAUCAUGGAGUUCGUGGAAGAUUCAAACAUGUUUUAUUUCCAUCCCAUACAAUAUUUUUUACAAAAAAUUCUUAUUUUAGUUUCCAAAAUUACAUAAUUAUUGAUGCAUUGAUUUGAACUCUUUGAUCGAAUUAGUCUAGAUCAUAAUAAAUUCUAACGGUGUAUUUUUUUCCUUAACAUUCCUUUUCUCUCUCCUUGAUUUCAAUCGUUCAGUCAAAACUGGUCGGAAUCCGGAAUCAUUUUCCUAUAUAUCACCUCUCCUACCCUUGCGUGCUGCAAGCAAAGCAAAGCAAGCCAAUGAUAGUGAAUAAAUAUGGAACCAACUUUCGUUCACUCUUUUAAUAAAUAUAUGUAAGAUGAGCAAAAUUGGAUUAUCUUGCUGCCAUCGUCGAGCUCUUGCAUGAAACUAUCCAUCAUUACUGUCGAUCUCAUGGAUGAAACCAUCCGCUGAUGCUAUCAUGUUCGUAUCAAGUUUGUGUAUAUGAAAUCAUAUUACAUUGCUCCCGCUGUGCUCGUGGUGAGGGGCUCAAUCCCCAUGGCAAGAGCAUUAAUUCUGACAACAAUUUGCCUGUCCAAGGUGGUUGAAUUUUUACCAAAGCAUAUACCACGCCGACUAUAUCUUAGUAGCACCUUUAGAUAAAAUUCAAUCUCUUAUUUUAUCUCGACCUUAUCGAAGAGAAAUUAUGGGGACUGAAAUGGGUUUUUUUAUAGUUCAAACGUUGAUUUUCUUCUUGAUUCCUCGACUGAGAAGAUCUUUCUUCCUGUCGCCGUAUCUAUUAUAAUACUUUAUAUUUUUCAGCUUAGAUUUCUUUUCAUCUACGGAGAUAUUAGAAUUUGCUCCAAUUGACAUUUUGGAUACGUGACAGUGAAUCUUAUAGUAAGGUGGUCCGCGCUAAUUAGUGCAGCUAGUUAGAUUUUUUUGUUCUUAUUUCUUAUUUUUUUUCUACAUGUAACAAUGUUCAGUCCGGCGGCCGGGUCCGGCCGCCGGGUGAUGCACUGCUGGUCCAGGGCACCGUUGCAGGGGGUUAGGGGACCUCACCGCUCGAGGGUGCAGUGGGCUCGCACGGUGCCGCCUGUCCUUGAUCAUGAACAGCGAAGGGAAGCGGCAGUCGUCGUGACGAUGUACGGAUGCACCGGCAGCGAAGCGAUCUGCUCUCGCUCGUCGUCGGUGGAAGCCGCGGCAACAAAUUUUCUCCCUUGGCCAAUUGCCAGUUACCACCCGUGGUCACAGGGUACCAAAUCAGCUUAUCAGCCUGGAAGGAAAGAAAGGAGCAGAGCACGCAGGCAUAGAUGGAAGGAUUAGCGAGAUUAGGGGAGGGUGACGGGCAACAGGCAACGUGAACAAAAAAAAAACGACGGACAUGGCAAUAGGAGUCCACAGUCCUAUUGCCAUAUUGGUAUAUUUCUUUUAAAUUUCUAAUUCAGCUAUUUAGUAAUUGUAUUUUGUAUGGAACCUUUAAAUUAAUAUAGAUAGUUAGAUUUUCAUAAAAUUCAAUGGUGUAUAUUCAAAUUCAGUUGUUUAGUAAUUGUACUUUGUAUGAACCUUUAGAUUAAUAUAGACCGUUAGAUCAUCAUAAAAUCCAACGACUUAUAUUCUUCUCUUUUUCAGAUUAACGUGGGAAUUUCUAGACCCUCUUGACGAACGUGGUGACUUCUUUAAAUACUAUUGUAUUAAGAUGUGGCCCGCGCUAAUAGCGUGGCUAGAUUCAUUACAUACUUAGUAAUAUAACUAUGUCUAUUACAUUGUUGACUUUGAAGUAACCGCUUUGAUGCUAUAAAGAAGUGACACCUUCUAUGUCACGGCUUUUCUCAUUAACUUGUUGAGCUCAUCAAGUUUAUGUAGGAUUCUUCAUACUCAAUCAUAUUGGAUGACCAUUCAGCUUACCAAAUUAUCCUUCACUAAAAAUAUAAAUAUAUUAGUUUAUAAAUAGAGGUUGGCAUUUCACCACUCUCAAAAUGAUCCCGACCUAAUUUAUAAUUAACUUAGGUCCAUUAAAAAUUUAAAACUAACAUUGUAAUUAAACUGUAAUUGAAAAGUUAUUAAUUCAAAGAUUUUUCAUUUCACCUCUAAUGAUUUCCUAACUCAAAUCAACCUAACAUAAUAAUUGCAUAACCUCUUUUGCUUAGUUGAUUAGUAAGGACAUUUGUAUGUUGCAUGCUCCCUCCGUCCCGUCGUUAUGGCUUUUCUAGAAAUAUAGUUUUUGCUAUGCACCUAAAUACAGUAUAUGUCUAGAUGCAUACAAACAUCUAUGAAUCUAGAAAAAACUAAAACAACUUACAAUUUAAAAUGGAGGGAGUACCUAUUCCAGCUUAUAUGUCAUGAGUGCUAGUCUUUUGUAGUUGCUGUAGAUUGCAGACAUGCCCUAUGUUUUCCGGCAUGCUGCCUCUUGCCCUGUAUUUGGUAGUUGCUGUAGCUUAUCUAUCCCUCCCUCCCUACCUCUCUCUCUAGCUUUUGCUGUGUAUUUGAUCGUCAAAACCGUGCUUAAAUCACUCAAAUUUCUGUACCCAGCAAUUAAUAGAGACGGGGUCACUUGUGGCUCCCACGCUACUUAUUUAGGCUGCACAAACCAUCCUAUCUUGCUUGUUAACGCAAGGCGUCAUCGACUCCUCGCGCUAUCCAUCGUGGCUUGAAUAUUUUCACCUUUACAUGAACAAAAAUACUCACCAAACCGAAGCUCUAAUAGAUGUAUAUCUUGCAUUAUCUGUAGUAAGCACACAACAGCCAUUUAUGUUCUCGCGUGACCUGCCAUGGCACACUUAUACAUGGUGUCUCCGAUCAUACAAAAGUAACUGACAUCCUUAAGUAAAUUUCCAUAUGGCGCGCUCCUAUAUGGCUCUUCAAGCCAUUUUAUUGCCAUAUCUUGUCAUAGGCAUGAUAUAAAAGUUUCCCUCUUCUUCAAACUCGACCGGGCAUAAUAGUAUUUUGUUUUGCUUUGUUUCCACCGGGCAUGCUCGCUUCUCAUCUCAGAGUAAUAGCCGGUGGUGACUAAUCCUGCCACAUGCAGCUAUGGGCAGGCACCUGGCAGCCCCCGUUGUGGGCACUGGUCAGUCCGUUUUUCCACCUGGCAGCCCCAUCCUGCCGGUACCAACUUUUCCGUCGUUGUCCAUCCUCAUGCCCCACAAACUUCUCCCAAAACAAAGUUCUUCAUCGCCGAAUUGAUCUGCGUGACCCUGAUCAAAUUUCUCCUCGCAGGGUUGAGCUCCUCGAUGUUCAAUUGAGUUCCUCAUCUCAGAUUUAGAUCAACGACUAAUCAAUGUUUCAUGGCAUAGAAUGAGCUGCUUUUGCCAAAUUGAACUCCCCCCCUCCCUCUCCUCCCCCCCCCUCCCUCUCCCUCUCUCCCUCCUCCCUCUCCCUCCACCGCUCAUGCGCCCGGUGUUUCUUCAUUAUUCCUCCCUCUCCCUCCACCCCUCAUGCGCCCGGUGUUUCUUCAUUAUUCCAUCAAAUUCAUCCAACAAUUUGUGGCAUGUUGUGUGCUCGCAUCGAUAAAUGGUUAUCUAAUAUUGCUAGAGCUAUUGUACGCUGCUAGGACAGCAUGUAUGCUAAAACCGAAGACAUAUAAAUUCCAUAGAAACAACAGAAUAUAGUGCGAUCUAUUUUUAGUCCUCAAUAGUCCUAAUAGAUUUUGAAUAUGAUAUUACGAUUGGUUUGCACCGUUAUAACUUGGGUGAGCUUAGAUCAGCUGAUAAGGUUCCUUGUGAUGGAACUUUCUCACUAGGGUUUGAGUCAUCAGCUCAACAUCAUUGCUAGUAUUUUUUUGAUUUAUUCUAGAAUUUAAUUAGACUAUGACAUGUCCAUCGAUAGCGAGGUGCUAGUGGUGACUUCAUCAAUCUCGAGAAUCUGCCAGCUCAGUCUCUCGGAGGUGCUCAUAGGUAGGGUUGCGUGCGUGUAUUCAUAGGGUUGAGUGUGCGUGCAUUUGUGAACGUCUGCGUCUAUACCGUGUUUUGCAAAAAAAUACAAUCAGUUGGCAUUUUUUUAUUUAGAUAUUCGUAAUUGCAUUUCAUGUGAAUCAUUUAUUUAGGUAUUAUUUUUUUGCACGGAGCUUAAACUACUAACCUUUCAUAAUCAGUUGGCAUUUUUUUAUUUAGGUAUUAUUUUUUGCACGGAGAUUAGGUUCUUUCGUUUUUUUAUUAACGUGAUAAUUUAUGUGUCCUCUUGAUGAAUGUGGUGCCUUUUUUUUAAUACUCUUUAUUAAGAUAGCUUAUUUUCAUAAAUCUAGCAAAAAGUAGUGUUACUAAUUUGACCGUAUUUAAUCCAUAUGGACACCAAAACAUUCGGUAAUUAGUACAAACCAUUGCCGCCCUUCCUUUCACACAUAAACACACAAAGAAAAAAAAUGGAAAAGAGAAACGCAAUGCAAUCAGGUUGAGUAGCAUUGAACGGAUCUGUGUGUAUCAUCAUUUGAUGAAAUGCCUAAUUAGUAUUUUAGCAGGGAGAACUAAUAAAUAUCCAUCAUGUGAAGCUUUGUAAUUUAUUAAUUAUAUUUGUUAUCGACUAUUUAUUAACUAUUUUACUUUUCCAAUCCGUGUAAACAUCAACUACUAAAUUCCUUAUUUUUUAAAUUUUUAAUUCCGAAUUUGUGUAUUUAUUAAUUGUGUGCGUAUUCGACGUAGACUCUUUAGGCUAGUCUAGACCGUUAGAUUUUCGUAAAAUCCAACGGUGCAUAUUCUUCUCUUUUUUCGAUUGAUAUGAUAAUUUCCAGCCCCUUUCAGUACACAUGGUGGUUUCUUUUGAUACAACAGAUAGAUGGACAGCAUGCGACUGAUAACCUGACCUUAUAAGUCGGAAACAAUUCGAAAACCCGACGACUUUGGCCAAACAAACGGCAACCAGAUAGCCUCACCUACCGUUUGUCGUUUGCGACGGAGCUCGACGUAGCUUUGCCUUUGCUUCGCCGGCCAAUAGCUCGACGGGAUGGGACGGGACGGGCAGGUGCCGUUCCGGAAAGCGGAAAAGGGUUGCGGCUCGGCUUCAGGUGCUCGUCUACGCGGGAUUCGCUGACAACGCCCAGCCGCCACGCCACGCUCUCUCUUUCUUUUCUUUUCUUUCCCCCCACCAUCAGGCAUCAGCGAGCGCGUUGCUCUCGAUGCGCUGCGCUCCUCGGCUCGACACGUUCCCGCGGCUGGCGCCCGACGGCAUCGGCUCCGGCGCUGGCGCGGCGGAACGAGUGCUCUGCUCAUCGGCGCCCAAAGGCAAAGGGUGAACAGAACUGGGGUGCCAGAGCCUGGCCUGGCCACCGGCGGCCGGACGUACGGGCUGCGAGGACUGCAGGAAGGAAGCAGUGCUCCUUGGGCUUGGGCGCACGGUUAAUAACUCUCGGAUGUGACGGGUGACCACAGCAGCACGGUUAAUAACUAUCGGAUGUGACGGGUGCUGCACAGUACUGCUGUCCUCUCUCCCUCUCUCGUCGUGCACCCUCGUGUUCGAUUCUAUUCGGCCCACUGACACCUUCGGGCUUUGCUCAUCAUCAUAUACUCCUACGUGUGUGGUACUGCUACCAUUUGAGGCCCAAAUACGUCGAGUUGACUGUUGAGGCGCUAGGACGUUUCACAAAUUCUUUACCACAUCACAAAUUACAAAGGAGAAUCCUAGUAUCCAAACACAGGUAUAAUGACUACUGAUUGAACUAUAUUUCCAGCAAAAAAAAUGUUGGUUUCUGUUUUAUCCGGAUCCUCAAUGGUACGAUGGAGCAACGCUGACGGGAUCAUGCAGCCCAAAAGUCCAGUACUUGGCUGCUGUCCUGGUCUGAUGCAUUAUUCACCGACAACUGUACGUGCCGCACCAUCAUCCACCAUCGUGUUUGCGUCCCACGUCGUCAACUGGUCGUGUCAUGUGUCAUAUCGAUCUCUCGUGCCUAAAACGUGACGUGAGGAAAAGAGUUUCGGUUCGGUGCUCGUCGUCCCGUCAGGCUUGUGUGAUCGCAGGCCCCAUAUGGUUUGGUUGGGGAUGGAGUUUUCGGCCCAGAGAAGCAAAAGCGCGAACGAACACCUACGACAAGUGAUUUUGGGCCGUGUCGGCUCGCGGUAGCGAAUUUGAGAAUUAACAGUCUUUUCCCAUUUCUAUUGGAUGUUGUUGUUUUCCAUUUUCUGUGUUUUUUUUAGAUCAAAGAGUUUUCCAUUUCUGUGCUUGAUGAGGAUUUAUGAGCGCACCCUACAGCUAAAGGAGUACCGUUUUCUUCGGUGUUUAGCGUUUUCUGUACUAGCACAACCGAUUGAUGGAUGGGUUCAAAAGCUAAAGAUGUACGUUAGGACGUCGUGGAAGGAAACCUUUUAGCGACAUAUUACCACCACCUGUCUACUAGCCUGAGCGUUACCACUCUCGAAAACAUGUCGAACCUCUGAAUUUCAGAUGCAUGGUUGCAAAUUUAGUGUAUAUUCAGCCAAUACUAUUGCCUUUGCGUUAUCAACUCAUCGACGAUGUCCCUAAUAGUCUAAUCUUUAUUUAUUUUUUUCAAUAUCCAGUAUAUUAGUCACGCUGAAAUUCAAAAAAAAAGGAAAACAAAGAUCGUCUUAAACAUGGCCAAGGCGCUAAACGUCAAACGAGAGCCUUGUUAGACACCUGCCCAACACAACUCGUUAACUCCUUGACUAAAAAUCCAUGUGAUGCCGGACCGGCAUAACGACCCACGCGAUUUAACAAAGAUCCAUUUCGUAAUUGAAAAUGCCUGUGAAUAAAAAGAAGAGAUUGCACAUGCUCAACAAUGACAGUCUUUAGUGCACAGUAUUAGAAUUAGAAUCAGGGUCAAAAUAACCAAUAAGACUAACAACAAACUAUCUAAACUUUAGCCCCGUUGAUUUACAUGUACUCCAUCCGUUCCAAAUUGUAGGUUGUUUUGAUAUUUCUAUGUACAUUUUUUUUCUAUGCAUCUAAAUAUAGUCCAUAUCUAGAUGCAUAAUAAUGUCUAUAAAACUAGAAAAGUUAAAAUGAUCUACAAUUUGAAACGGGAGAAGUACCGAACGGUGAAGCAUAUAAUACAUCCUGACGUGUAUAUGAAUUUGAGCCGAUACCCAAGUACCCAACACUGAAGCAUAAAGCAUGUUUGUGGUUGUAUAGUACUUACUGCUAGUACAUCGCAAGCAGGCCAAGAGUUCGCAAGCAAAAUAGCCGUAUGGCUGUAUAUAUGAAUUUUACAAGAUUUUUUUAAUAAACAGAAGAAUUCUACAUUAAUUUUCUAAUUCAUUUCUCCUCAAUUUUUUUCCUAAUUCAUACAAAUGUUUCGUGACCUUUUCAAGAUAAGAUUGCAGUUACGAACAAAAAGAUUUUACGAAGAGCAGAUUCCCGCUACUUACAUUUUCAUUCCAUUUCAGAACGUAAGAUUGCUAUAUACAUUUGUACACAAUCUACCGAAACGGAAUUGCUAGCAUCCUUCUAGUUUAAAAUUGAGGUCCUGAGUGCUAAUUUUGAAGGCAAUUUUCCCUCCAAAACGACCCCGGGACGACGGAUCAAAAGCACGGCGUGAGCACGUUGAGCAGCGACACCCUCGCGUUAACAAGCGCCCGGUACACCUGCUCGCAGCCGUCUUCCGCCGCCACGACGCACUCCUCCAGCCUCCGCAGGCGUUCCAUGGCAGCCUGCCUCUCCUCCUCCUCCUCGCUGCAGCACUCCUCCAAAGGCACCUCCUUUGCGCCGGGUCCGGAUUCGCUGGCGGCGACGGCCACCGUACGCCGGCGCCACCGAAGGAGGUCGGCCACCCACCACACCGGCACGGCAGCCACCUUCGCCGGGGAGACCGCGAGCGGUGACGGCAUUGCGCGCGAGGACGAGGAGGCGGAGGCGGAUGCGAGCCC